CCUACGGGUUGCAGCAGUGGGGAAUAUUGCACAAUGGGCGCAAGCCUGAUGCAGCCAUGCCGCGUGUAUGAAGAAGGCCUUCGGGUUGUAAAGUACUUUCAGCGAGGAGGAAGGCAUCAAGGUUAAUAACCUUGGUGAUUGACGUUACUCGCAGAAGAAGCACCGGCUAACUCCGUGCCAGCAGCCGCGGUAAUACGGAGGGUGCAAGCGUUAAACGGAAUUACUGGGCGUAAAGCGCACGCAGGCGGUCUGUCAAGUCGGAUGUGAAAUCCCCGGGCUCAACCUGGGAACUGCAUUCGAAACUGGCAGGCUAGAGUCUUGUAGAGGGGGGUAGAAUUCCAGGUGUAGCGGUGAAAUGCGUAGAGAUCUGGAGGAACACCAGUGGCGAAGGCGACUCUCUGGUCUGUAACUGACGCUGAGGCUCGAAAGCGUGGGGAGCAAACAGGAUUAGAUACCCCAGUAGUC
RNAcentral lists this ribosomal RNA (465 nucleotides) under uncultured bacterium. Its description in RNAcentral is "bacterial SSU rRNA". It matches the Rfam family "Bacterial small subunit ribosomal RNA", at positions 338 to 795 of the family's 1533-position model. The record is from RNAcentral.